Molecule: ribosomal RNA, 465 nt
Filed under: Vreelandella stevensii
Lineage: Bacteria; Pseudomonadati; Pseudomonadota; Gammaproteobacteria; Oceanospirillales; Halomonadaceae
Description: partial 16S ribosomal RNA
Rfam family: Bacterial small subunit ribosomal RNA
Source: RNAcentral
CCUACGGGUGGCUGCAGUGGGGAAUAUUGGACAAUGGGCGAAAGCCUGAUACAGCCAUGCCGCGUGUGUGAAGAAGGCCUUCGGGUUGUAAAGCACUUUCAGUGGGGAAGAAAGCCUUGGGGCUAAUACCCUCGAGGAAGGACAUCACCCACAGAAGAAGCACCGGCUAACUCCGUGCCAGCAGCCGCGGUAAUACGGAGGGUGCGAGCGUUAAUCGGAAUUACUGGGCGUAAAGCGCGCGUAGGCGGUCUGAUAAGCCGGUUGUGAAAGCCCCGGGCUCAACCUGGGAACGGCAUCCGGAACUGUCAGGCUAGAGUGCAGGAGAGGAAGGUAGAAUUCCCGGUGUAGCGGUGAAAUGCGUAGAGAUCGGGAGGAAUACCAGUGGCGAAGGCGGCCUUCUGGACUGACACUGACGCUGAGGUGCGAAAGCGUGGGUAGCAAACAGGAUUAGAUACCCGAGUAGUC